This 177-nucleotide unclassified non-coding RNA is filed under the name soil metagenome. RNAcentral describes it as "partial internal transcribed spacer 1". The record is from RNAcentral.
CCGAGUGCGGGCCCUCGCGGCCCAACCUCCCGCCCUUGUCUCUAUACACCUGUUGCUUUGGCGGGCCCACCGGGGCCACCUGGUCGCCGGGGGACGCACGUCUCCGGGCCCGCGCCCGCCGAAGCGCUCUGUGAACCCUGAUGAAGAUGGGCUGUCUGAGUACUGUGAAAAUUGUCA